This 21-nucleotide microRNA is filed under the name Brachypodium distachyon (stiff brome). Its description in RNAcentral is "bdi-miR5163b-5p". The record is from miRBase by way of RNAcentral. Lineage: Eukaryota; Viridiplantae; Streptophyta; Magnoliopsida; Poales; Poaceae.
CACCCAACUGAAAUAUUUAAA